GAUGAACGCUGGCGGCGUGCCUAACACAUGCAAGUCGAGCGAACAGACGAGGAGCUUGCUCCUCUGACGUUUGCGGCGGACGGGUGAGUAACACGUGUAUAACCUCCCUAUUUCACUGGGAUAACUUCGUGACACCGGAGCUAAUACCGUAUAAUAUAUUGAUCCGCAUGGUUCAUUAGUGAAAGACGGUUUUUCUGUCACUUAUAGAUGCAUCCGCGCCGCAUUUGCUAGUUGGUAGGGUAACGGCUUACCAAGGCUACGAUGCGUAGCCGACGUGAGAGGAGGAUCGGCCACACGGGAACUGAGACACGGACCAUGCACCUACGGGAGGCAGCAGUGGGGAAUGGUCAACAAUGGGGGAAAGCCUGACAGAGCAACGACGAGUGUGUGAUGAAAGUCUGAGGUUCGUAAAACUCUGUUGUUGGGGAAGAACAAAUAUGUAAGAAGAGAUGGACGUAUUGACGGUACCGAAUCAAAAAGCAACGGCUAACUACGUG
Molecule: ribosomal RNA, 497 nt
Filed under: uncultured bacterium
Lineage: Bacteria
Description: partial 16S ribosomal RNA
Rfam family: Bacterial small subunit ribosomal RNA
Source: RNAcentral